GACGAACGCUGGCGGCGUGCUUAACACAUGCAAGUCGAACGAUGAAGCCGGAGCUUGCUCUGGUGAAUUAGUGGCGAACGGGUGAGUAACACGUGAGUAACCUGCCCUUGACUCUGGGAUAACUGCGGGAAACUGUAGCUAAUACCGGAUACGACCCUUGGAGGCAUCUCCUGGGGGUGGAAAGAAUUUCGGUCAAGGAUGGACUCGCGGCCUAUCAGCUAGUUGGUGAGGUAACGGCUCACCAAGGCGACGACGGGUAGCCGGCCUGAGAGGGUGACCGGCCACACUGGGACUGAGACACGGCCCAGACUCCUACGGGAGGCAGCAGUGGGGAAUAUUGCACAAUGGGCGCAAGCCUGAUGCAGCAACGCCGCGUGAGGGAUGACGGCCUUCGGGUUGUAAACCUCUUUUAGCAGGGAAGAAGCGAAAGUGACGGUACCUGCAGAAAAAGCACCGGCUAACUACGUGCCAGCAGCCGCCGUAA
This 484-nucleotide ribosomal RNA is filed under the name uncultured bacterium. RNAcentral's name for it is "partial 16S ribosomal RNA". It matches the Rfam family "Bacterial small subunit ribosomal RNA", at positions 28 to 523 of the family's 1533-position model. The record is from RNAcentral.